ACCCGCGUCGUCCAAUGGGAGGGCCGCUGUCUUACAAACAGCAGACGGGAGUUCGAUUCUCUCCGUGGGUACC
Molecule: transfer RNA, 73 nt
Filed under: Streptomyces phage FlowerPower
Lineage: Duplodnaviria; Heunggongvirae; Uroviricota; Caudoviricetes
Also listed under: 5 other names
Description: tRNA-Val
Rfam family: tRNA
About the family: Transfer RNA (tRNA) molecules are approximately 80 nucleotides in length. Their secondary structure includes four short double-helical elements and three loops (D, anti-codon, and T loops).
Source: RNAcentral